CCGCCUCCUUCUUCCCUUUUGCAGAGCCGGUGCGUGCGGUACAGGGGCCUGGCGGCUGGCCAUGAUACAUCAAGCAAGUUCUUCCCUCGCUGGUAAUUACAAAACUGCAGACCGAGACCUGAUGUCACUUGCUAAGGUUUUAAUGGAGGAAGUUGGAAGCCCCAUAGAAGGAAGAUUCUCUGGCCUGAAGCAUGAAUCCUGAUGAUGAAAGGCUGCGUAAAAUAGAUUGGCUUCGGAUGACCACCUGCCUGAUGUAUGGAGAUAAAAAUUCCAACUUGAACACAGUUCCAUAAUGUUUGCAGGGAGAGUAAAGCACAGGACACUUCAUACAAAGUCAAGACUCAGCUAAAUCAGCGGAGUGCUGAUAACCAUCCAGUGCCUUUCCAUAACUUCUACCCUGUGUGCUCAGGACAGGC
Long non-coding RNA from Malaclemys terrapin pileata, 416 nucleotides. RefSeq lists it as uncharacterized. The transcript is spliced from 7 exons. NCBI's taxonomy places the organism in Eukaryota, Metazoa, Chordata, Testudines, Emydidae. The record is from RefSeq and is a predicted model, not a curated record.